AUGAACGCCGGCGGCGUGCCUAAUACAUGCAAGUUGAGCGAACGGACGAGAAGCUUGCUUUUCUGAUGUUAGCGGCGGACGGGAGAGUAACACGUGGAUAACCUACCUAUAAGACUGGGAUAACUUCGGGAAACCGGAGCUAAUACCGGAUAAUAUUUUGAACCGCAUGGUUCAAAAGUGAAAGACGGUCUUGCUGUCACUUAUAGAUGGAUCCCCGCUGCAUUAGCUAGUUGGUAAGGUAACGGCUUACCAAGGCAACGAUGCCUAGCCGACCUGAGAGGGUGAUCGGCCACACUGGAACUGAGACACGGUCCAGACUCCUACGGGAGGCAGCAGUAGGGAAUCUUGCGCAAUGGGCGAAAGCCUGACGGAGCAACGCCGAGUGAGUGAUGAAGGUCUUCGGAUCGUAAAACUCUGUUAUUAGGGAAGAAAAUAUGUGUAAGUAACUGUGCACAUCUUGACGGUACCUAAUCAAAAAGCCACGGCUAACUUCGUG
Molecule: ribosomal RNA, 496 nt
Filed under: uncultured bacterium
Lineage: Bacteria
Description: partial 16S ribosomal RNA
Rfam family: Bacterial small subunit ribosomal RNA
Source: RNAcentral